RNAcentral lists this ribosomal RNA (253 nucleotides) under uncultured bacterium. Its description in RNAcentral is "partial 16S ribosomal RNA". It matches the Rfam family "Bacterial small subunit ribosomal RNA", at positions 524 to 776 of the family's 1533-position model. The record is from RNAcentral.
UACAGGGGGGGCAAGCGUUGUCCGGAUUUACUGGGCGUAAAGGGCGUGCAGGCGGUUUGUUUAGUCUAGGGUGAAAGCUCCCGGCUUAACUGGGAGAGGUCCUUGGAUACUGGCAAACUUGAGGGAGGCAGAGGAAAGUGGAAUUCCCGGUGUAGUGGUGAUAUGCGUAGAUAUCGGGAGGAACACCAGUGGCGAAGGCGGCUUUCUGGGCCUUACCUGACGCUGAGACGCGAAAGCGUGGGGAGCGAACAGG